RNAcentral lists this unclassified non-coding RNA (191 nucleotides) under uncultured fungus. RNAcentral describes it as "partial contains 18S rRNA, ITS1, 5.8S rRNA, ITS2 and 28S rRNA". Lineage: Eukaryota; Fungi. The record is from RNAcentral.
AUGGAUCAUUACCAAAGAUCCCAUCCACGUAUUGUGAACUGUUUUGACUAACGGUCAGUGGGAGCUGUAGUAGGUGCUUCGGUGCCUGCUACUGUAACCGCUGCCCGUAUCAACAAACGUAUAUUCCUAAACUGACGUCUCUUUAGUAAAUUAACUAAAGACAACUUUUAGCAACGGAUCUCUAGGCUCUU